This 450-nucleotide ribosomal RNA is filed under the name uncultured bacterium. RNAcentral's name for it is "partial 16S ribosomal RNA". It matches the Rfam family "Bacterial small subunit ribosomal RNA", at positions 354 to 796 of the family's 1533-position model. The record is from RNAcentral.
GUGGGGAAUAUUCCGCAAUGGACGAAAGUCUGACGGAGCAACGCCGCGUGAGUGAUGAAGGUUUUCGGACUGUAAAGCUCUGUUGUUUGGGACGAAAGUGCCUGUUGCGAACAGUUACGGGUAUUGACGGUACUAAACGAGGAAGCCACGGCUAACUACGUGCCAGCAGCCGCGGUAAUACGUAGGUGGCAAGCGUUGUCCGGAAUUAUUGGGCGUAAAGAGCAUGUAGGCGGGAAUCUAAGUCUGUGGUUAAAAUGCGGGGCUCAACCCCGUAUUGCGAUGGGAACUGGGUUUCUUGAGUGCAGGAGAAUAAAGGGGAAUUCCAAGUGUAGCGGUGAAAUGCGUAGAUAUGGGGAGGAACACCAGUGGCGAAGGCGCCUUUCUGGAAUGUGUCUGACGCUGAGGAGCGUAAGCCAGGGUAGCGAACGGGAUUAGAAACCCCUGUAGUCC